RNAcentral lists this long non-coding RNA (1858 nucleotides) under Astyanax mexicanus (Mexican tetra). Its description in RNAcentral is "lncRNA (ENSAMXG00005010811.1)". Lineage: Eukaryota; Metazoa; Chordata; Actinopteri; Characiformes; Acestrorhamphidae. The record is from RNAcentral.
GCUGUUCCAAUCACAUUUCACAAAGUUAGAUUUUGAACAAUAACAAGCAAAUUAAUUUAUUUUGUGUUUAUUCAAUCAUAUAUUAAUAACCUAGAUGCCUACUUAUGAUUCUGCUUGGCUAAAAGUUCUAGCAUAAUAUUUUAAAUACACACUUAACUAAAACAUUUUGCCCCAAAAAUUAAUAUCAAAUGUUGUGAAGCCAUAGUCUCUUUUUAAACGGGCAAUUAUUUGGAGACCUUUAGAGAGUGGGGGUCCUCCUUCUUUCAGGAGGAAGAACAACACCUCAGAAAGACACUGAAAGGUACAGGGUGAAUUUUCGCUCUUUAUUCUUUCAGAAAAAUCAAGGUUGCUGAUUCGUCAAUUGAACUAUGAUGUCAACUACAACAUUUGAAGAAAAUUCUGAUUUUCAAGACAGUGAAGAAAACCUACGAGAUCUGGCACAACAUGCAAGCAUCCUUUCAGAAAAUAAGCCCAACCCUGAGGACUUACUCAGCAUUAGCUCUGAACAUCCUUCUCCAGUGAAGGAUGUUCAGCCUACUAGCGACACCAAAGACACUAAAGUGAUGGAACUUAUUACCGGUCAGUCUUUGAUCAAGUCUGGGAUCUUGGCCCAUCUACAGCUUGCAUCACCUCUCGAGUCUGUAACAGAAUUGGUGGAGGUAGAAGAGGCAUGUGACUUACAAAUUUCAGAAGAACCAAUUGCAACCAAAGAGAUCUUUCCAACCACAACCGUAUGUUACAUGUCAUUAACCACAGAGGGACUGGGACAUGCCUUGGAAGGGGCAGCCAUCUUUGGAAAAGUCAUGGAGUCAAACACUCAACCUGAUUUAGGACAUCCAGAGAGCCCAAUGACAGAAGCUUGUAGCUCCGUCCAUGAAAUUCCAGUUGGGUCGUGGCUUCAAGAAGAUUCCUCGAAAAUUUCAGUCAUCGAAUGUCAACAGGUGGACCAGUGCCCUCCUGCUGUGGGUGGUUUUCAGAAGGAAGCAGCAUGGCACCAGUUGACAACUUCUUGUGCUAAUUCUGGAGUUUUAGAGCUGACCAAACAUUCCUCUGUCCCACCUCUUGAAGACCUUAUUACCCCCCAAGAAGUACAAAUGUGUCACCAAACUUGUGUAAAAGGUGAAGAUACGGUUGGUGAUGAAUUAAGGUUUGACAGAAAGCCAAACUCAGAGAGGUUUCGAGGUCACAUCCGUGAAAAGGAAGCCACUGCAACCAAUGUGGCUAACCAGUCGCUAAUUGAAGUUCUCACAGCGUGUGAAGCUAAAGUGGAGCAGUAUGAACAGCUCAGAUCAUCUUCCUUUGACCUGUCUGCUCAGCUGCGUUCUGCCCAGCUUAUGGCUGAUAGUCUGCAUCAGAGAAUGCUCAGCCUUGAGCACGAACACAGUCUGAAAGACAAGAAACUACAGGAGCUAACAACUAUUCUGGAGAAGACCAGUGAAACACUGCAAGCAAGGAACUGGGAAAUGGCUACAAUCACUAAUGAGCUCCAGCAGCUUCACUUACAGGUGGAGGCACAGAAGAAUGUGCCCGAUGCUGCCAGAACAAUAACAGCUAACGGACUAGCCACUCCUGACCCACAACUACAGCUGAGCAGGAGCUCUAAAAUAUGUACACUGUUAUGAUAAUAACAGUUGAUAAUGAUGAUGGUUUUUCACUGAAAUAAAACAUUCAGCCCUGAAUGAAGGGCCUGGUUCUGAUAUUCUGCACUGGUAAAAUCUACCGACUACAGUGGAUUAGAUCACCACAGUCAGGUAUUUAAUUAUAAGUACUGAACAUUGAACAUGUGAUAUUGUGUGUAUAUUUAUAUUGUAUGUAUCUACACAUUACCACUCUGCAUUUGAAAUAAAGCAGUACAUAU